GAUGAAGAACGCAGUGAAAUGCGAUAAGUAAUGUGAAUUGCAGAAUUCAGUGAAUCAUCGAAUCUUUGAACGCACAUUGCGCCCCCUGGUAUUCCGGGGGGCAUGCCUGUUCGAGCGUCAUUUCACCACUCAAGCCUCGCUUGGUAUUGGGCAACGCGGUCCGCCGCGUGCCUCAAAUCGACCGGCUUGGUCUUCUGUCCCCUAAGCGUUGUGGAAACUAUUCGCUAAAGGGUGUUCGGGAGGCUACGCCGUAAAACAACCCCAUUUCUAAGGUUGACCUCGGAUCAGGUAGGGAUACCCGCUGAACUUAAGCAUAUCAAUAAGCGGAGGA
RNAcentral lists this unclassified non-coding RNA (331 nucleotides) under soil metagenome. Its description in RNAcentral is "partial contains 5.8S ribosomal RNA, internal transcribed spacer 2, and large subunit ribosomal RNA". The stretch from base 1 to 120 matches the Rfam family "5.8S ribosomal RNA", at positions 35 to 154 of the family's 154-position model. The record is from RNAcentral.